This 1538-nucleotide unclassified non-coding RNA is filed under the name Camponotus floridanus (Florida carpenter ant). RNAcentral describes it as "galectin-8, transcript variant X4". The record is from RNAcentral. Lineage: Eukaryota; Metazoa; Arthropoda; Insecta; Hymenoptera; Formicidae.
AAAAAAGAAAAAAGUCAAGCGAGGAAAUGAUCGAUUGAAGACUGUAUAUUCGUUACAAGUCAUUUUCUAGUGUGGGCUCGCGCAAUCGCAAGUGCAUUUGUCGUAUAUGUAUAUGUACAUGUUAAAGCGGAGGUGGAAGCGGACGAGAAUAGACGGGACAAACACAGACAGCCGCGCGAGCGAAGGCGGCUGAGAGAGCGAAAGCCACGUUCUAUUCGCAUGAGUGUACAAUGCGUUGGCACGUUCUGCAUUCGAGAGAAGUAUAGUAUUCGUCGUCUGUAGUUCCAUCGAGUAGACUUUUGUGUGUCCAGGACAGCAUGUCAUCUCUGUCCGAUAACAUCCAUGUCCUGGCCAGGCAAGAGGCGUUCAAGGAUUUCUCUUAUUUCGAUGAGGAGACCGUGCCCGCGAAUGUCGGCAAAUUAAUUCCACUGCAAUUUUUAAAACCGACAUCCGCCAUCAUUCUCACCGGAUACAUUCCUGAAAACGCAUCGAGGUUUUCGGUGAAUUUAACAUGCAAGACAUCUGGAAACAUCGCUUUGCAUUUUAAUCCACGACUAGACAGAGGUUAUAUUGUCAGGAACACGAGAUUACGCGGAUCCUGGGAAAAUGAAGAGACUUGUUCACCCGCUGGUUCAAGCGGAUGCAUUUUCCGUCGGAACAGCUACAUGCAUCUUAUGAUUUUUUGUACGAAUGAUGCGUUUCAGAUUGCGAUAAAUGGAGAACACUUCUGUUCCUUUUACUAUAGAUUGCCUCUCGCAGAUAUAACAGCUCUUGAAGUCAACGGCACUAUCGAGGAUAUUAGAACUCGUCAACUUAAUUUAUUUGUAUAUCCAGAUCCUAAUAUUUGUCGGCCAUCCCGAACAUUGAUUCUGACAACCGAAGAACCGCUCGUAGAUUUUCUAGACGUUCCCAUCACUGUGGGUAUCGGUAGUGAAUUUCGUGUCGGUGCUAGUUUACUCAUCGCUGGAAGAUUGAAGUUACUUCCACACUCAUUUUACGUGAAUCUGCAGAGGGGCAAAACCAUUUAUCCUCAUCCCCUUAUACCACUGCAUUUAAACCCACGCUUUUUAUAUGGCAAUAGCGCGCCAUAUGUGGUCAUGAAUUGCUGGAACAAUGGCACGUGGGAUCACGAAGAACGACAUCAAGGUCAUUUAUCUUGGAUGCCCGGCCGAGAUUUCUUGCUCACAUUCGUGUUUGCUUUAAUAGCAUUCGAUGCGAGUACGAAGGAUACACAAUAUGGCUGGAUAAUAAGAUGAUCGGUGAAUUUAAGCAUAGAUUGCAAUCAUCAAUUGUGGAUACUCUACGAAUAUCUGGCGAUGUCGUACUUUAUCAACUCAGUAUGAAUUGAUUGAACCUCAUCAGACUAUAAUACGUAUAUGCACCUUUUCAAUGAUCGCGACAUAUGUGAUGCCGAUGUAUUUUCGAUAUAAUGCUAAGGUUUUCACACACUUUUCUUGGUAUCAUAUUUAUAUAUAUAUUUACAUUUAUAUAUAUUACGAGAGCUAUUUAUUUACGAGAAUAAAUCAAUUUCAAACAAA